UCUUUGAAAAAAGAUGUUUAUUAAACAACUUUAAUUGUCAUAAAAUGACUAAAAUGGGUUUUAAAAAUUAAGGCUCUUCUCUUUCUGUGGAUUGCCAGAACAAUGUAAAAAUAAUAUCAAUCAACCCUGCUAAACGUUUUGUUCCUAAAGUUAAAUUUCAUAGAUUCCUAAACAUUUUAUGAUUAAGAUAAAAAAUUGGACUAUAAAUGACAAUUCAUGGCCAUCUGUGCUGAACACACAUUGAUCAGGUGUACAAUAUUCUAAUUGAGUAGUUAAGCAAAAAAUAUUCCAGUUAAAGCAUAAAUUUUAAUUUCAGCAUUUUAAAGUCAUUGUUUCCCCACAUGGUCAUGAUUUUCCUAAAAUUGAAAUAGUCUAAUACAGGAGCGCUAACCUUGGGACUCUAUAUACUCCCAGGAGGAUGACUGACUUGGCUGGCAAUUAGUUUGAUUAUAUUUUUUUAAAUGCUCUAAGGUAAAUUAUCAAAUGAUUCAGAAUUACAUGGCAUGCAGUAUCCAAAAUUAUGGCUCUGAUGCAUUGAGAUUUACAUUAAGAAUAAGAAGUGUCAUUCACAUUCAUUGUACACCCCACCCCUCCCACGAAAAAGAAAAAAGUCACUACCUAUUCAAGUUCUAGAUCUGGUGCAGCAUUAAGGAUUAAAACUUACCACUUUACCAGGCCUUCCCCAUGUGCAAAUAAAUCCCUCCUGACAAGCAGUGACUAUACAGUCUUCAAGAAAUAUUAGUACAGUCAGUCUCUCAUGUGCUAUCUUUUUACAUAUCAGCGGCUCUAACAAGGGAACAUCUUCCAUUCGAGGACACAGGGGCGUUCCCAGAGUUUUAGCAGGGUCCGUUUUGGUUUUGGUAACUAGAUUCAGUUUGUCACUGCUCUUGCUAGAAAUGUGUCCCAUGCUAUGAUUUCGCUUGUGAUCUUUCUCGUGGUGCCUCUCCUUCCGGUCAUGUAGUGAAAGUGUUGCAAAUUUGCUGACCCCAGAAGCAAUGGCCCCGUCCAUGACACUGCUUUUGCUGCCAGCAUUUGAGACUGCUGAAUGUGGAAGGCUGUUGGACCGUGGCAGAGGAGGCGGCACAGAGUUCCCGGGUGUUGUAACACUGUUCCCAUUGCUUCCAGCAGGAGGACUCGUGGCAUUCAUGACAUUUGUGUGUGUCCUUGCUCUUGAGAGGGGUUGGUGAGGGAAAAGGAUAUCUUCUGUAAGGUCCCAUAAACAGAGCUGUGUGUCCUGGCCCACGGAACCAAACCGAUACGUGACACUUACGGGGCGGCUGUCUGUAGAGUUCCGUUUGGAGAGCCUGGACUGUGUACUAUUUGCUCGAUCUCUGCCAAAAUGAAGAAGGUCUUGGAAGUCCUCAUCGCUGCCACUAAACUCCAUAGGGUCACCUUCUUCUACACUAGUGGUAUAAGGGUCAAACGCUACAACACUGACCCAGGACUUGUGCCCGUGGCCUCUGGCUAUUACUCGGCAGUCUACAAAGGACCAGACUGUCACCAAGUCGUCCUCCCCACCUGUCACGAUGUACUUGCCAUCCGGGCUCCAGCACACACACAGCAAGCCCCCAAAGUAGCUUUUCAUCGUACCGUGCAGCUCCACUGAGUCAAAGUUGAACACCCGCAGAAACCCGUCCUGGCUCACGCACGCUAAGAACUUGCCAUCUGGGGAGAAAGCAAACUCGUUGAGGGCCCCCUCGCCCACCGUCCACUUAAGGAGAGGGUUCCUCGUGGAUUUGCUCUUGCAAGUGUGCACGGCAAAGCUCUCUCCCUGCUUCAGAAGCUGGUAGUGGGGGGCUGUGGUGCCACAAGUGUGCUCCACAUUAUAUAAGUACAUGUUCCCACUCGAGUGGGCUACUAGGAAAAGGCUUUCCGAACCGGGAACCCAUUUGACACAGGUAACUCGUGACUUGUCUAUUAGUCUCUGGUCGGUACCUUGCGGACCCCCUUGUAGAUAUAGAAGUACAGCUCCCGGCCCACAUUGAAGCAGAGGCGGUCGCCGUUGCCAGACUGGUCGUUGAGGUUUACGAAGGAGACGCGGACAGGGUUGGAUCCCUGCGAGUUGAAGGGCACCCGGUUGGGCCGGCUGUACUCCGAGUGCGGCAGCAGCUUGUACAGACCUUCCCGGGUGGUGAAUUGGGUCUUAAUCUCGUUCAUCUCCUUCCCUCCUCCCUCCGUCGCCAUCUUGGAAAGCAGCGUUCAUCCUGCCCUAAGUGCCCGGAUCACGCCCACC
RNAcentral lists this long non-coding RNA (2233 nucleotides) under Homo sapiens (human). RNAcentral's name for it is "non-protein coding lnc-HSP90AA1-2:1". The record is from RNAcentral. Lineage: Eukaryota; Metazoa; Chordata; Mammalia; Primates; Hominidae.